This 247-nucleotide ribosomal RNA is filed under the name uncultured bacterium. Its description in RNAcentral is "partial 16S ribosomal RNA". It matches the Rfam family "Bacterial small subunit ribosomal RNA", at positions 86 to 334 of the family's 1533-position model. The record is from RNAcentral.
AGAUGGCGACCGGCGCACGGGUGAGUAACACGUAUCCAACCUGCCGAUAACUCGGGGAUAGCCUUUCGAAAGAAAGAUUAAUACCCGAUGGCAUAAUUAGACCGCAUGGUCUUAUUAUUAAAGAAUUUCGGUUAUCGAUGGGGAUGCGUUCCAUUAGGCAGUUGGUGAGGUAACGGCUCACCAAACCUUCGAUGGAUAGGGGUUCUGAGAGGAAGGUCCCCCACAUUGAAACUGAGACACGGUCCAA